RNAcentral lists this ribosomal RNA (914 nucleotides) under uncultured bacterium. RNAcentral's name for it is "bacterial SSU rRNA". It matches the Rfam family "Bacterial small subunit ribosomal RNA", at positions 8 to 916 of the family's 1533-position model. The record is from RNAcentral.
AGAGUUUGAUCAUGGCUCAGAUUGAACGCUGGCGGCAGGCUUAACACAUGCAAGUCGAGCGGAGAUGAGGUGCUUGCACCUUAUCUUAGCGGCGGACGGGUGAGUAAUGCUUAGGAAUCUGCCUAUUAGUGGGGGACAACAUUCCGAAAGGAAUGCUAAUACCGCAUACGUCCUACGGGAGAAAGCAGGGGAUCUUCGGACCUUGCGCUAAUAGAUGAGCCUAAGUCGGAUUAGCUAGUUGGUGGGGUAAAGGCCUACCAAGGCGACGAUCUGUAGCGGGUCUGAGAGGAUGAUCCGCCACACUGGGACUGAGACACGGCCCAGACUCCUACGGGAGGCAGCAGUGGGGAAUAUUGGACAAUGGGGGGAACCCUGAUCCAGCCAUGCCGCGUGUGUGAAGAAGGCCUUAUGGUUGUAAAGCACUUUAAGCGAGGAGGAGGCUACUGAGACUAAUACUCUUGGAUAGUGGACGUUACUCGCAGAAUAAGCACCGGCUAACUCUGUGCCAGCAGCCGCGGUAAUACAGAGGGUGCGAGCGUUAAUCGGAUUUACUGGGCGUAAAGCGUGCGUAGGCGGCUUUUUAAGUCGGAUGUGAAAUCCCCGAGCUUAACUUGGGAAUUGCAUUCGAUACUGGGAAGCUAGAGUAUGGGAGAGGAUGGUAGAAUUCCAGGUGUAGCGGUGAAAUGCGUAGAGAUCUGGAGGAAUACCGAUGGCGAAGGCAGCCAUCUGGCCUAAUACUGACGCUGAGGUACGAAAGCAUGGGGAGCAAACAGGAUUAGAUACCCUGGUAGUCCAUGCCGUAAACGAUGUCUACUAGCCGUUGGGGCCUUUGAGGCUUUAGUGGCGCAGCUAACGCGAUAAGUAGACCGCCUGGGGAGUACGGUCGCAAGACUAAAACUCAAAGGAAUUGACGG